GCACUUAUAGCUCAGUUGGAUAGAGCGCUCCCCUCCUAAGGGAGAGGCCGCAGGUUCAAUUCCUGCUAAGUGCACCA
This 77-nucleotide transfer RNA is filed under the name Candidatus Merdicola faecigallinarum. RNAcentral describes it as "tRNA-Arg". It matches the Rfam family "tRNA". From Rfam's summary of the family: Transfer RNA (tRNA) molecules are approximately 80 nucleotides in length. Their secondary structure includes four short double-helical elements and three loops (D, anti-codon, and T loops). The record is from RNAcentral. Lineage: Bacteria; Bacillati; Bacillota; Clostridia.